AAGAAGCCUGAGUUGGACGUGAUUGCUCUGGCAUUUCGUAGGCUGUGGAGGGACACAGGACCAUGGAGCCCUCAUGCUGAAGAUCCAGCCCAAACAGCACCGUCUGCAGAGCUGAGCUUCCCCUCGCAUGGCAGAAAGCCACGCGUGUGCACAAAUGCAUCCCUGGGCAUGUUACGUGGAGGAAGUAGAAACAAAAGAUAGGAAAGAGACAACUUCAGGCCAGCCCACAGCCUCACGGUUAAGGCAGCCGAAUCCCACAGGAGAGACUGAUGUUCCAGUGAGAAAAUAAAACCGGUCGGAACUACACACCACGGUCCAUGGACACAGCGAGACAGUACGAAACAGGACCGACUCGCUAAGAAGAGCUGUGCUCAGCUGGGAGCCAGUGCUGCGCAGAUAAGGAGGGGAACCAGGGCCAGCAUGCAACAUGGUGAUUAAGAGCCCUUGUCCUGCGAUCAGCCCUCCCAACAACUUCUGUGCACCCUGUGCUCUCACGACCUCACUGCGUGGAGUUGUAAAGCCGGUCUCCAGGGCUCGUCCGUUUCGCUUGGCUGAAACUUUA
Tupaia belangeri chinensis (Chinese tree shrew) is the source of this 562-nucleotide long non-coding RNA. RefSeq lists it as uncharacterized. The record is from RefSeq and is a predicted model, not a curated record. The transcript has 3 exons. NCBI's taxonomy places the organism in Eukaryota, Metazoa, Chordata, Mammalia, Scandentia, Tupaiidae.